UGGCUGAAUGGUUACAGUGUUCGCUUUGUAAGCAAAUGGUUCUGGGUUAGAUUCCCAU
Molecule: transfer RNA, 58 nt
Filed under: Culex quinquefasciatus (southern house mosquito)
Lineage: Eukaryota; Metazoa; Arthropoda; Insecta; Diptera; Culicidae
Rfam family: tRNA
About the family: Transfer RNA (tRNA) molecules are approximately 80 nucleotides in length. Their secondary structure includes four short double-helical elements and three loops (D, anti-codon, and T loops).
Source: Rfam by way of RNAcentral